AGAGUUUGAUCAUGGCUCAGAACGAACGCUGGCGGCAGGCUUAACACAUGCAAGUCGAGCGCCCAGCAAUGGGAGCGGCGCACGGGUGAGUAACACGUGGGAACGUGCCCUUUGGUUCGGAAUAACGUAGGGAAACUUGCGCUAAUACCGGAUAAGCCCUAACGGGGAAAGAUUUAUCGCAUUGGAGCGGCCCGCGUCCGAUUAGCUAGUUGGUGGGGUAAAGGCCUACCAAGGCGAUGAUCUGUAGCUGGUCUGAGAGGACGGACAGCCACACUGGGACUGAGACACGGCCCAGACUCCUACGGGAGGCAGCAGUGGGGAAUAUUGGACAAUGGGGGCAACCCUGAUCCAGCGAUGCCGCGUGUGUGAAGAAGGCCUGCGGGUUGUAAAGCACUUUCAGUUGGGAAGAGAGAUAUGGGCUGAAUAAGCUUAUGUUGAGACGUUACUGACAGAAGAAGCACCGGCUAACUCUGUGCCAGCAGCCGCGGUAAUACAGAGGGUGCGAGCGUUAAUCGGAGUGACUGGGCGUAAAGGGCGCGUAGGCGGUUAGAUUAGUCUGAUGUGAAAGACCUGGGCUUAACCUGGGAUGUGCAUUGGAAACGGUCUAGCUAGAGUAUGAGAGAGGGAAGUGGAAUUUCCGGUGUAGCGGUGAAAUGCGUAGAUAUCGGGAAGAACACUCGUGGCGAAGGCGACUUUCUGGCUCAAAACUGACGCUGAGGCGCGAUGGCGUGGGGAGCAAACAGGAUUAGAUACCCUAGUAGUCC
This 764-nucleotide ribosomal RNA is filed under the name uncultured bacterium. Its description in RNAcentral is "bacterial SSU rRNA". It matches the Rfam family "Bacterial small subunit ribosomal RNA", at positions 8 to 796 of the family's 1533-position model. The record is from RNAcentral.